This 4185-nucleotide long non-coding RNA is filed under the name Gouania willdenowi (blunt-snouted clingfish). RNAcentral's name for it is "lncRNA (ENSGWIG00000009887.1)". Lineage: Eukaryota; Metazoa; Chordata; Actinopteri; Blenniiformes; Gobiesocidae. The record is from RNAcentral.
CACAGGACAUGCAACAGAAAGGGAAGUGAACCGUGAACCUAGCUGAUGCGUUCAAACACAACCAAAAACUAAUCCCAUCACUCGCACACAGUUAAAAAUGGAGCCAGUGGACGCUGAAAGUCUCGUUUCCAGAUUGGAGAGGAAUUUUUGGACCGUCUGGGGUGUUUUCAGUGAGGCUGUGAAUAGAUUCCUAAGGCCACAGGUUCCAAACAACAUCGGCAGCGAUCCGAACACUCCUGACAUUAGUCAUGCAGGGACCAAUGGCUCCAGUGAAGAGGACACCAUCAUAGAAAAGUGCCUUGAUCUGCCUAACUCAUCUGAGCUACUUAGUGGAGAAUCGGAGGAGAACAAACAACUCCUGAGCAGUUCAAACAAUAAAUAUGAGGAAGUCGAAAGCACAAAAGCAGAACCUUUGCACCAGAACAAACCGGAUUAUGAAGGGAUGCUCAUCACCAGAAAAACAAACAUCGAGAAACUCGAGACACCCAAAAAUGAUACAUACGAGCAUUUAAAGACUAAAUCACAGAGUCACAUUGAGGAUACAGUUUGUAUCAAGGUCCAGGGGAAUAAAUAUGACACUUAUACAGAAGAAACUAUGAGUCCUGUUAAUGCAGAAAUAUUUAAAGAGACAGACCAAGAACAGGAUCCGCUGCAACAUACAGAAAGACAGAAUUUCAGUGAUAAUGAGUCUGGGAUAAAACUGAUCCAAGAAUUAGGUUUGGGAAAAAAGAGUGACAUGAUCAACAUGGGAAAUUCAGGGGAGGAACCUGACGGUGCAACUGUGAUGCAAGAUGGAGCCAAAAACAAGGACGGGGUUGGACAGACGACCUCUGAGGAUGCAAAGGAGUCAGAACACAGAAGAAAACUGGUGGAGUAUGCACAGAGUGAGGAUGAGAUGAUCAUUAAUUUUCAAACCAACACAACAGACACAACUGAAAUACUACCAGAAGAUGAUUUUAGCAGUGAAGACGACAACUUGGACAGUUUGGUAGACAUGUUGCUCGAAAGCGCAGGCAGACAGGAAGUUCAGAGAAAUUUGGAGAAAACUCCCAAGGGUUUAAGUGAAGAACGGGGUGUAGCAUUGAAGGAGCAAAACAUUCCCGCGUGUGAGGAAACACAAGAGGGAGUUCCUGUAAACAACAAUGAACUCAGCCUGGAUGAAAAUACAACUCAGCUUUUCCUGGAAGGAGAUUCCAAGGAAGCUGAGGCUGCUCGAUUACCAGAAGAGGUGGAGAGUAACUACCAUCAGGAGAGGCUACAAAACACAGACCAGGACCAUUUACCGCUGUGCAAGGCUGUGGAGGAGAACCAAGACUACACAGAGGACAAGGGAAAUGUUGGGGAUUCGUUGAGCUACACUAAAAUACAGCCAGUACAUGCAAGUUUUCAAGCUGUGAUUCAAGAUCCUGGAUUAUUCAAUCAGGAAGAGGAGAAAGAAUCAUUAGAGAGCUCAAUGAAGAAGGAGAUCAGAUGCUACAGCAGUGAUUUGGGGGUUGUGGUUGCCUUAAAAAACAAGAUCAUUGAUACGCCAGAGCUGCAAGACGCAAUGGAUGAAGCAGAGCCAAACAUAGAACCUUUAAACGCCCCAAAUGAUGAAAAUGGUGCAACAAGUGAAAUUACCGGUAAAUCUGCAGAGGAAUUUUGUGAACGUGUUGAUAAACUGUUGAAAUUUGGUGAAGAAAACAUGACAGAAACAUACUUUUUAGAGGAAUUUGUAGGGAACGACAAAAACCAAAAUACUUUCAAGCCAGAAUCUGAAAUUGCUCUUCAGCUUCAGACACAGGAGGAGUCAUCCAGAGCACCCGAGAUAAAAGCCCUAGACGUGAUGAAUGUCACUGAGGAAAGGAAGACAGAUACUUCCGAAGCAGGUAUGUCAACAGAAGAAACAGACAAACAUGUGAUUCAAUCAUUGAUAAGCCUCACAGGAGAAAACAGUCACUCAAUCAGUGGAAAUCAAGAUGUAAUUGAUGAAGAAAUUCUGGACCUGUGGCUUGAAACAGUGACGCCUUCAAAGGAAUCAAUCUCCAUGGAGGUGUCUGAGGUGAAAACACACAAAGUAGCGCGGCCUCACCUUUUAGAGGGUAUUGAGGCAGUAUCUUACAUAGAAUCAAAAGUUCAACAACCUGAGGUGGACUUUUUGCAUCAAGAGAAAAGUUUAGCUCAAAGAAGAACAGAGGAGGAAUGGGCAAGAUCAGCUGAGACUUCAACAGAAUCCAUCUCUAAGGAAGUGUCUGAAGUGGAAACACCCAAAGAAGUGUGGCCUCACCUUUUAGAGGGUACUAAGGCAGUGUCAUACACAGAAUCAAAAGUUCAACAACCUGAGGUGGACUAUUUGCAUCAAGAGGAUCAUUUAGCCCAAAGAAGAACAGCAGAAUCAGCAGAGAAUGAACAUGGAUUUCAGAAACAUUUUGAUGCAGUUAGAAUGAACACAGAUAUUAUUUUGCCUGUAAAUACAGCCCCUUUAAUCCCAGUCGACAUGUUAAAAGUUAAAGAUGUUCAGGAGAACGUGUGCAGCUUUAUGGAAAAACCAAAACAUGCGGAAGCGGAACAAUCAAGGAACGUACGAAAGGAUUGUCUAGAAGAGCAAUACGACGUAGAACCAUGCACGGAGAAGUUGGCGUUUCAAACGUCUUCACAAAAAGAACAACAGCCAGAGCACUCAGAAGAUUUUCAGGAACUAAUGCCAACCGGGUUUGAGUUUGCAGACGUGAUAACUGUUGCUGAAGACACAGAUGAAAGGAAGCUAGAUGCUUCCGAGGCAAUUAUGUCAACAGAGGGAACAGACAAACAUGUGAUUCAAUCAUUGGGAAGCCUCACAGGAGAGAACAGUCACUCAAUCAGUGGAAGUCAAGAUGUAAUUGAUGAAGAAAUCCUGGACCUGUGGCUUGAAGCGGUGACGCCUGCAAUAGAAUCCAUCUCUGAGGAAGUGUCUGAGGUGGAAACACCCAAAGGAGCGGGGCCUCACCUUUUAGAUGGUAUUGAGGCAGGAUCUUACACAGAAUCCAAAGUUCGACCUCCUGGAGAGGACUAUUUGCAUCAAGAGAAUUUAGUCCAAAGAAGAACAGAGGAAGAAUGGGCAGAAUCAGCAGAAACUGAAAGUAGAUUUCAAGAACACUUUGAUGCAGGGAGAAUGAACACAGAUAUUAUGUUGCCUGUAAAUACCGCCCCUUUAAUCCCAGUCAACAUGUUAAAAGUUAAAGAUCUUCAGGAGAACUUGUGCAGCUUUUUGGAAAAACAAAAACACGCUGAAGCUGAAGAAUCAAGAGAUGGAACAAAGGAUCUGCAAGAGGAACGAUACAAUGAAGAACCGUGCACGGAGAAGUUGACGUUUCAAGCGUCAUCACAAAAAGAACAACAGCCAGAGCACUCAGAGGAACUAAUGAUGCCAACCAGGUUUGAGUUUGCAGAAGUGCCAACCACAAAGGGUAAAGGCCAGGACCAGGUCGAUUCCUAUUUGUUGGACCUUUCUCUGCAGAAGUGUAGAAUCACAGUUAAAAACCCUCGAGUGAGGCCACCAACGAAUCCUCGUACCUUGUUACACACACCCUCCAUGGCGCCCACUCCCUCUUCACAGGCUGUACCUUUAGGAGCAGUGAGUAUUGGGAUCAAACUGCCUGGGCUUGGAGCAAGCCUGCCAGUUUUAAAAAAGUCAGGAAAGGUGACGGGAAAGGAAAAAGGACAGAAAACAUUACAAAAAGAAGACAAAGAGACAAAACCAGAAGACAACAGUGAUUCUCCCAAACAGGAUGAAGCCCAACACAAACCUAGAUGGAUGCCUCCAAAGCAUCAGGGAUUUGGUAAUCCACUGAUGUUGGAGCUGAAGACCAAACUCAAAAGAACCGUAAAUGAGUGACAGGUUGUGUUUGUGACUGUAAAUAGCGACCGUGGCUCAGGUGGUAGUGGGUCGUCUUCUGAUAGAGAGGUUGGGGGUUCCAUCCCAGUACCUGACUAUGUGUCGAAGUGUCCUUGGGCAAGACACUGAACCCUAAGUUGCUCCCAGUGGUCGACUAGCGCCUUGCAUGGCAGUCCUGUCCCACUGGUGAGUGAAUGGGUGAAUGAGCUGAUAUGUAAAGCGCUUUGAGACUGCUUCAGUGUGGUGAUAAAGCGCUAUAUAAAAUCAAGUCCAUUUACCAUUUAUCAAAUACUGGUAAUAAAAAAGCAGUGGAUUUUUUUUUAUUUUUAUUU